Long non-coding RNA from Corapipo altera (White-ruffed manakin), 220 nucleotides. RefSeq lists it as uncharacterized. The transcript is spliced from 3 exons. NCBI's taxonomy places the organism in Eukaryota, Metazoa, Chordata, Aves, Passeriformes, Pipridae. The record is from RefSeq and is a predicted model, not a curated record.
ACUACUGCAAAGACCCCCCCAGACCUGGAUGCGGUGACACUGGGCCUGUCGUGUCUGCUGGUGGUGCUGCUGCUGGGACUGGGGGCACUGGGACUGCUGGGACACCACCGGCUCCUGAGGGAGAAGCUGUGGCCGCCGGUGCCAGGCCCCGAGCGGGAGUUCGAGGGGCUCUUCAGUGCCUAUGGGGGCAACUUCCAGGUGGGGGAGCUUUGGGGGGGGG